GUACUUGCCUGGCAAGGAGAUCGCAUGAUCACGAAGGUGGUUUUCCCAGGGUGAGGCUUCUCCAUUGCACUCCAGAUGUGCUGAUUCCUGCGGUUUCCCCAAAUGUGAGAAACUCGACUGCAUGAUUUGUUGUGGGGGACUGCAUUCAUAUUCUCCCCUU
This is a small nuclear RNA of Peromyscus eremicus (cactus mouse), 160 nucleotides long. RefSeq annotates it as U1 spliceosomal RNA. The transcript has a single exon. Lineage: Eukaryota; Metazoa; Chordata; Mammalia; Rodentia; Cricetidae. The record is from RefSeq and is a predicted model, not a curated record.